Non-coding RNA from Pimephales promelas (fathead minnow), 1179 nucleotides. Lineage: Eukaryota; Metazoa; Chordata; Actinopteri; Cypriniformes; Leuciscidae. The record is from RefSeq and is a predicted model, not a curated record.
ACAGGAAGAGUAUAUACACAGCUCGCUCCAUUCUUUGAUUGAGCUGUUUAGAUCGCAUAAGUCAGUGUAAAAUGAAUAGAAAUGUUAUGACGGAAAUAUUUUAGUAGCAUAUGAUAAUGAAUCAUUAUUUCUACAAAUGCGCGCUCCAUUGUACUAAUAAUCCUGGCGGAUUUUUGUAUGUAUCUGAGCACAAAUAAACCGGAGAAGAUGAGAAGUAAUGAUGUCUGAUGCAUGACUGCACGAUCUCCUUAAUCCAGGAAACAUCCGACAGUUUCUAUCACCCGGAGUGCUGCAGAAUAACAGUACUAUAAGCCGAUGGUGGGUGCUCUAUUGUCUUUCCGUUUUAACCGGAAAGGAAGCCAUUUUGUCUACUUUCUGGAAAGAUGCCACGCACGAAGCAAGCCCAGCGCUCCCAGGCUGCGAAGAAAAGAAUCGCGGACCGCAUGACCCCUGGUCCUGAAGAGGCCCUGCCACCUCUUAAAAAAAUGGCAGAAGUAACAGAACGUUGUGUACAUCACAACGGGGAUAAAAAGUGUGAUACUGAAGAGGCCCUGCCACCUCUUAAAAAAAUGGCAGAAGUAACAGAACGUUGUGUACAUCACAACGGGGAUAAACAGUGUGAUACUGAAGAGGCUCUGCCACCUCUUAAAAAAUUGGCAGAAAUGACUGAACGUUGUGUCCAUCACAACGGGGAUAAAAAAUCUGACAUAGCAAGAGGUCUAACAACUGGUCUAACAACUGAUCUAACAACUGGUCUAACAACUGAUCUAACAACUGAUCUAACAACUGGUCUAACAACUGGUCUAACAACUGAUCUAAACAAUGACGCUAAAAACACCGAUCCUAAUACUUGUGUUAACAUGACCAUGAAUGAUGUCUCUGAUUUGUGUCCGCAGAAAUCUUUCAUCAGAGGCUCUUUCCAUCAGGCAGCGAAGUGUUUUGGCAUCAAUAGUGGCAGGCAAUGUGCAGCAAACAGUUUAACUGCAAUUUUGAUGUGUAAGGUUAAAAGUGUGUUGCGAUGGACUCCGAGUCACCUGAAUGAUGUUCUGAUGCUUGGAGAUAAGCUGUACAGUGCCAUGAGAGAUGCUGGGAAAAUCCACGAUCAUUUCAACGGUUUCAUACAAAUUGCUGAGCUGCCUGACACACACACACUGAAUAAUUGGUGUUUUUCAAUAAAGU